UGCCGAAACCCGGGAUUGAACCAGGGACCUUUAGAUCUUCAGUCUAAGAUCUAAAGGUCCCUGGUUCGACCAUAUAUAGGU
Non-coding RNA from Cordylochernes scorpioides, 81 nucleotides. The record is from the annotation of a GenBank genome assembly. NCBI's taxonomy places the organism in Eukaryota, Metazoa, Arthropoda, Arachnida, Pseudoscorpiones, Chernetidae.